Daktulosphaira vitifoliae (grape phylloxera) is the source of this 1699-nucleotide long non-coding RNA. RefSeq lists it as uncharacterized. The record is from RefSeq and is a predicted model, not a curated record. The transcript is spliced from 4 exons. NCBI's taxonomy places the organism in Eukaryota, Metazoa, Arthropoda, Insecta, Hemiptera, Phylloxeridae.
AAGUGCACACUCGUGUUCCUUAAAUAUAUAUAUAGUAUCAAAAAAUUGCUUGUCAGUAACCGAAUAGUAAUUAAUAUACACACGAAUUUCAGAAAAAUAUUUCAAGUAAAGGAGGUAGUCAGGUGAUUAUGGAAAACAAUAUUUAGAAAACUAGAAAAGUUAUUAACUUAGGUAACAUUGACGGUUAGCUCAAAUACACACCCAAAGAAAAACCUCAAUCACUUUUGAUAGAGAAAUUUUAUCAAGGGUUUAUGAUAAUGUUUUAUUAAUACGAACAAAAUAACUAUUCUAUAAAUAAUUAUUGUUCAAGACAAGAAAAAAAAUUAUCAUAUUAAUAAAUAUAUCAUAGAUUCAAUAGUAAUGAUAUUGUAUUUAUCAAAUUGAACAAUGAAUUUAUUAUAUAGAUCGAGGUUUUUCUCUGGGUGCAGAAAUGUGACGUCACUAUCAUAAUAUGAAAUAACAGUGGACUGCUCUGUUUGUGUCCACAAUAAUGAUCGUUCAUUUAAGAUUAUUAAUAUUUUUAUUUAUAACUUAUAUUCAUAAGAAUAACAUGAUUGUUUUUCUUUAAGAAAUUCAUAAACUAUACUUGUCAGCUCUUUUUAAUCUUAUCUUAAUAAUAAAACACAAUGUGUAAAAUCCUAAACGUCUUAUAAAAUAUCAAAGUGAAUUGUAUAUUAUUUGAAUGUAUUAAUUUAUAUAUUUGAUGAUAUUUUAUAUAUUAAUUUCUAUAUUUUAUGAUUACUUGUCAAUAAAAUAUUUAGCUAUAUAUAUAUAUAGCUUAUAUAUAUAAAAACAAACUAAAGGGAUUUUCUCCUACCGAUUAUCACCUUCAUACGUGUAAAAAAAAAAUCAAUUUUGCUAUAUAAGUGGAGAAACAGCAUAUAUACGUUUAAUAAUUCGUUUUCAUGUGUUCUGCUAGUUUCUUUAUGUUCAUCAGUCUUAUUUUUUAAUACAGAAGAUCGAAAAUCAUUAAUAACUAAAAUUAUUUCAGUAUAUUCCUUGAGUUACAUUUCAAAUUGGGGAGAAAUAAUUCAAAAAUCGAGUUAAAGAAUAUAUUUUCACUGUGUUCAUUUGCAAAUAUUGAAAAUAAAUUUUUCAUCGAGGUUUAAAUUGCUCUUUUUGUUAAAGAAUAAAAAUCACAUCGUAAAAAUUUUAUACAAUGCAUCUUCCAUUAAGCCUAAAUGAUGUCGAAGACAUCGUAAAGUACUUGAAAGCGCAAAAUGUUUGCCAAUUUAAUAUAUUGGCAGACAUUUUGUACGAAUCCAGAAAUUUUACGGUGUCUGAGAAAGGCAUUAAAUAUGAAGAUGCAUUAAAAACUCCCGUGACGCUUGAUAUGAUUAGAAGUGACUGUCAAAUUUAUAAAUCUGAAAUCCGUUCAGGCGUAUACAAUUUAUUGUUUGGGGAAAAAAAUUAUUUGAAGUUCAAUUUUUUUUCUAUAUUAUCACAUAAUGUAAAUAAUGAAAUUAUGUACUCCAUAUGCACAACUGACGAUUGCAUACGUGAUAUGGCGUAUGAUCAAGAUAGCUUUACAAUAAAAUAUAUUAAAGAUCAAAUAUGUAUUAAUCAGAAUAGCAUGUACUAUUUAAUUUUCAAUUUUCCAUCGCAAUUCAAAUGUCAUUAUUGUGAUGAUCAAUUAUUUAAAUGGUUCAUUUAAAAAAGAUUAUGUAUAUAGUAUUUCUUUUUUUUAAUUUUUGAAAAU